RNAcentral lists this unclassified non-coding RNA (345 nucleotides) under soil metagenome. RNAcentral describes it as "partial contains 5.8S ribosomal RNA, internal transcribed spacer 2, and large subunit ribosomal RNA". The stretch from base 1 to 119 matches the Rfam family "5.8S ribosomal RNA", at positions 35 to 154 of the family's 154-position model. The record is from RNAcentral.
GAUGAAGAACGCAGCGAAAUGCGAUACGUAAUGUGAAUUGCAAAUUCAGUGAAUCAUCGAGUCUUUGAACGCACAUUGCGCCCCCUGGUAUUCCGGGGGGCAUGCCUGUCCGAGCGUCAUUGCUGCCCUCAAGCACGGCUUGUGUGUUGGGCCCCGUCCUCCGAUCCCGGGGGACGGGCCCGAAAGGCAGCGGCGGUACCGCGUCCGGUCCUCGAGCGUAUGGGGCUUUGUCACCCGCUCUGUAGGCCCGGCCGGCGCUUGCCGAUCAACCCAAAUUUUUAUCCAGGUUGACCUCGGAUCAGGUAGGGAUACCCGCUGAACUUAAGCAUAUCAAUAAGCGGAGGA